GAAACGCGAUAGGUAAUGUGAAUUGCAGAAUUCCGUGAAUCAUCGAAUCUUUGAACGCACCUUGCGCUCUAUGGCAAUCCGUAGAGCAUGCCUGUUUGAGUGCCAUGAAAUCUCCCACCCCAAGCGGUUUUUAAAUGAAACGGCUUGGCGGAUGGGGUCUGGAUGGGUGCCUCUGCCUGCGCUACCUAGCACAGGCUCGCCCGAAAUGCAUGAGCGCCUUGAGACACUUUGCAUCCGCCUCUCUGUUUGGGAGGAGGCGGCCAAGCAGUGUUUUUCUCCUGGCAUGGCAUGAUACGUCAUUUGCUAUGUCACCUAAAGGAGGAAUGUUUGGUUGUGUCUGCGUGUGCUUCAAACUUGCCUCUGUGGCACAUCCCAAUUUCACUUCAGGUCUCAAAUCAGGUAGGAUCACCCGCUGAACUUAAGC
This 424-nucleotide unclassified non-coding RNA is filed under the name plant metagenome. Its description in RNAcentral is "partial contains 5.8S ribosomal RNA, internal transcribed spacer 2, and large subunit ribosomal RNA". The stretch from base 1 to 105 matches the Rfam family "5.8S ribosomal RNA", at positions 50 to 154 of the family's 154-position model. The record is from RNAcentral.